This is a long non-coding RNA of Zingiber officinale, 268 nucleotides long. RefSeq lists it as uncharacterized. Lineage: Eukaryota; Viridiplantae; Streptophyta; Magnoliopsida; Zingiberales; Zingiberaceae. The transcript is spliced from 2 exons. The record is from RefSeq and is a predicted model, not a curated record.
GCGCUUGCUGAGCGGACCGCUGACGACCACUCGCUCUCCCCCGACGCCCUCCGCCUCCAUUUCGUCGUCGGUCCCCACGCUCAGCAUCCAGAUCGCAGAUCUACACCACCGCAGCUCGAGAUCGGAGUCCAAGAAGGAGAUCUUUACGGAUCGUGACCAAAAUGGAAGACAAAAGACAAUCGCACUGGGGUCCGCGAGACCGUGGGAGAACUCGUUUGGACCGCCGAGAACGAGGAUGUCUUUCCCUGUAUAAAUUAAUUUUGAUUUA